GCGCGAGUGGCGGAAUGGCAGACGCGCUGGCUUCAGGUGCCAGUGUCCCUUGGGACGUGGAGGUUCAACUCCUCUCUCGCGCAC
This 84-nucleotide transfer RNA is filed under the name Cutibacterium acnes. Its description in RNAcentral is "tRNA-Leu". It matches the Rfam family "tRNA". Rfam says of the family: Transfer RNA (tRNA) molecules are approximately 80 nucleotides in length. Lineage: Bacteria; Bacillati; Actinomycetota; Actinomycetes; Propionibacteriales; Propionibacteriaceae. The record is from RNAcentral. RNAcentral also lists the same sequence under 13 other names.